RNAcentral lists this unclassified non-coding RNA (393 nucleotides) under Hevea brasiliensis (rubber tree). Lineage: Eukaryota; Viridiplantae; Streptophyta; Magnoliopsida; Malpighiales; Euphorbiaceae. The record is from RNAcentral.
ACUUCAGCCCAACCCAUUGAUGGAUUAUCUAUCAGGCCCCUCCACAAGGUGGAGACUCGUGCGUAUCGUGGAGUCCCAUCUUGAAGAGAUGUCCAUUGAAUAAGGCAGAAGUUAAGGGUUUCGUGAAGAGAUCGACGAGCUGGUGUCUCGACGGUACAUGCACGGUGGUGAUGAAGCCCUUGUUCAACUGGUCGCGGACCACAUGGCAAUCGAUCUCUAGGUGCUUGGUCCUCUCAUGGAAGACUGGAUUAGCCGCGAUAUGUUCCGCUGCUCUGUUAUCGCAGUGGAGUGCAAUGGGGAGAUGGAGUUUCAAUCUGAAAUCUUCAAUGAGGUAACUGAGCCAUUUUAGUUCACAAACAGUAGUUGCCAUGCUUCUAUACUCAGCUUCAGCUG